AAAAACCUCUGGGUGUGCAUCUGAAAAUCUGCGUGUGUCACAGGCAGGCAAGAUAACCAGAAACGCUGGGGAAUUCAGGUGCUGUAAUCGACUCAUCUCGUUAUAGAUCAAGAUAAUUUAUGAAGAUCUUUAAACGAAGGAUUGGAAUAUCAGAUAGUUGACAUGGUGUGCCACUCUGGGUGGCUCCGGCACACUCGUGGCUACGCCCCGCCGUGACCCAAAUCUCAUUCGCACAUCAUCGCGAUAUUUAUCAUCAAUUUACAAAUGUCAUCACAUCUCGAUCAAGUACAGUACCAGAUGGCUUGAUGGGUUUGGGCUCACAGACGGGGAAGGAAUGGAAAGGCUGUGGUCUUUCCUCCAAAGAUUUGCCAGAGUCACAAAGGAGAUGACUCCAUCUCAUCGCCUUGACCUACUGACUGAUGUCCGCCUUGACGGAGGAAAUCAACUGACCUAGAGGUGCAGCUCCUGCAAAGAGUAGACAAAGCAGAGAAAAUAUUGCUCAAGAAGAUAUCUCAUCUGUCAUCAGAGAGGCACCAGUGUUGAUUUCUGAAGGAGACAUGGCGAGAUGGAAAAAAGCUAGCCCAACAGAAACCAAUAAUGGUACUGUGGUAGUAAUGUCGUCUUUUCUUCAGAGACUCUGUCUGUAGAUGGAAAAGCGACUACAUCAUCAGACUGAUUCAUUU
Molecule: long non-coding RNA, 683 nt
Organism: Paramisgurnus dabryanus
Lineage: Eukaryota; Metazoa; Chordata; Actinopteri; Cypriniformes; Cobitidae
Source: RefSeq, a predicted model, not a curated record